GCCUCCCUAGCUCAAUCGGUAGAGCAGCUGACUCUUAAUCAGCGGGUUACAGGUUCGAGUCCUGUGGGGGGUACUA
This 76-nucleotide transfer RNA is filed under the name Leptolyngbya valderiana BDU 20041. RNAcentral's name for it is "tRNA-Lys". It matches the Rfam family "tRNA". From Rfam's summary of the family: Transfer RNA (tRNA) molecules are approximately 80 nucleotides in length. Their secondary structure includes four short double-helical elements and three loops (D, anti-codon, and T loops). Lineage: Bacteria; Bacillati; Cyanobacteriota; Cyanophyceae; Leptolyngbyales; Leptolyngbyaceae. The record is from RNAcentral.